This 883-nucleotide ribosomal RNA is filed under the name uncultured bacterium. RNAcentral describes it as "bacterial SSU rRNA". It matches the Rfam family "Bacterial small subunit ribosomal RNA", at positions 8 to 887 of the family's 1533-position model. The record is from RNAcentral.
AGAGUUUGAUCCUGGCUCAAGAUGAACGCUGGCGGCGUGCCUAACACAUGCAAGUCGAACGGAACUUUUACGGAUUGAGACUUCGGUUGAUUGAGGUUUAAGUUUAGUGGCGGACGGGUGAGUAACGCGUGAGUAACCUGCCUUUCACAGGGGGAUAACGUUUGGAAACGAACGCUAAUACCGCAUAACAUAGCGAAACCGCAUGAUUUUGCUAUCAAAGAUUUUAUCGGUGAAAGAUGGACUCGCGUCCGAUUAGGUAGUUGGUGAGGUAACGGCCCACCAAGCCGACGAUCGGUAGCCGGACUGAGAGGUUGAACGGCCACAUUGGGACUGAGACACGGCCCAGACUCCUACGGGAGGCAGCAGUGGGGAAUAUUGCACAAUGGGCGCAAGCCUGAUGCAGCAACGCCGCGUGAGGGAAGACGGUUUUCGGAUUGUAAACCUCUGUCUUUGGUGACGAAGAAGUGACGGUAGCCAAGGAGGAAGCCACGGCUAACUACGUGCAGCAGCCGCGGUAAUACGUAGGUGGCAAGCGUUAUCCGGAAUUACUGGGUGUAAAGGGAGCGCAGGCGGGACAGCAAGUCAGCGGUGAAAUUUAUAGGCUCAACCUGUAAACUGCCGUUGAAACUGUUGUUCUUGAGUGGAGUAGAGGCAGGCGGAAUUCCGAGUGUAGCGGUGAAAUGCGUAGAUAUUCGGAGGAACACCAGUGGCGAAGGCGGCCUGCUGGGCUCUAACUGACGCUGAGGCUCGAAAGUGUGGGGAGCAAACAGGAUUAGAUACCCUGGUAGUCCACACUGUAAACGAUCAUUAAGAGGUGUGGGGGGUCUGACCCCCUCCGUGCCGCAGUUAACGCCAAUAAGCAAUCCACCUUGGGAGAAGGCCC